RNAcentral lists this ribosomal RNA (696 nucleotides) under Vreelandella aquamarina. RNAcentral describes it as "bacterial SSU rRNA". It matches the Rfam family "Bacterial small subunit ribosomal RNA", at positions 747 to 1441 of the family's 1533-position model. Lineage: Bacteria; Pseudomonadati; Pseudomonadota; Gammaproteobacteria; Oceanospirillales; Halomonadaceae. The record is from RNAcentral.
UGAGGGUGCGAAAGCGUGGGUAGCAAACAGGAUUAGAUACCCUGGUAGUCCACGCCGUAAACGAUGUCGACCAGCCGUUGGGUGCCUAGCGCACUUUGUGGCGAAGUUAACGCGAUAAGUCGACCGCCUGGGGAGUACGGCCGCAAGGUUAAAACUCAAAUGAAUUGACGGGGGCCCGCACAAGCGGUGGAGCAUGUGGUUUAAUUCGAUGCAACGCGAAGAACCUUACCUACUCUUGACAUCCUGCGAAUUUGGUAGAGAUACCUUAGUGCCUUCGGGAACGCAGAGACAGGUGCUGCAUGGCUGUCGUCAGCUCGUGUUGUGAAAUGUUGGGUUAAGUCCCGUAACGAGCGCAACCCUUGUCCUUAUUUGCCAGCGCGUAAUGGCGGGAACUCUAAGGAGACUGCCGGUGACAAACCGGAGGAAGGUGGGGACGACGUCAAGUCAUCAUGGCCCUUACGAGUAGGGCUACACACGUGCUACAAUGGUCGGUACAAAGGGUUGCCAACUCGCGAGAGUGAGCCAAUCCCGAAAAGCCGAUCUCAGUCCGGAUCGGAGUCUGCAACUCGACUCCGUGAAGUCGGAAUCGCUAGUAAUCGUGGAUCAGAAUGCCACGGUGAAUACGUUCCCGGGCCUUGUACACACCGCCCGUCACACCAUGGGAGUGGACUGCACCAGAAGUGGUUAGCCUAACGC